Calliphora vicina (urban bluebottle blowfly) is the source of this 269-nucleotide long non-coding RNA. RefSeq lists it as uncharacterized. The transcript is spliced from 2 exons. The record is from RefSeq and is a predicted model, not a curated record. NCBI's taxonomy places the organism in Eukaryota, Metazoa, Arthropoda, Insecta, Diptera, Calliphoridae.
AACAUACAACAGCUUGCAAUAUAUGAAAGGUGAAAACGUUAAGGAAGCAAUACCUCUCCUUGGUCUUCGAAUCGAAUUUAGUGAAAAAAAAUUCAGUUUGGCAUCAAUGACGACACAAUUUCUGUCCAAUCCAAAGUUGACAACUAGUUAAUUGAAGAAGAUGACUUCCGUGGCAAACGAGUUUUAAGCAGGGUAAUACUAUAGUUAAAUUUUAUAUUUCUUUAUUUGUAUUUCUCAUAAACAAAAUAAAAUUUAUUAAAAAUAAAAAA